Phyllopteryx taeniolatus (common seadragon) is the source of this 1087-nucleotide long non-coding RNA. RefSeq lists it as uncharacterized. The record is from RefSeq and is a predicted model, not a curated record. The transcript is spliced from 2 exons. Lineage: Eukaryota; Metazoa; Chordata; Actinopteri; Syngnathiformes; Syngnathidae.
CGGGCCCCCGCGGCCGCCGCGUCCCCGCCGCCGCUCUCCUGCUUGACGGCCUGGACCACCCCGGUCACCGGGGCGCCGUCGCCGGUCGGGCUCGGCGCGUACACUCGGCUGCCGAGGAUGGAGCGCUUCACCAGGCGCCGGCAUGAAGCGGCUCGGCUGGUAAACAACGUCAAGGAGCGGCAGCCCUGACAAAACGUCCGGAAGCGGGAACAUACUCGACGGGCUGCACUCUCGAACGGACGCCGUCGUCUUCGUCGACUUCCACGGAAGGCGCAAGGCAAACAAUUCUCUCCGCGUCCCAAACCGGCUGCCAAUCUUCCUCCUCCUCCAGUUUUUUUCCUCCCCUCGACCUGUUUGUUUUCGCUGCCUGCCUCGCUAGCUGAGAGAGAGGUCGGCGAGAAAACGCGGAGCUUCCGGCGCCAUCAUGUCACCCGUUCACGAUUGAACAAAAUGGCGGCUGGCUGGUCGAACAACCUUCUUCUCGUCGACGAAUUCGUUUCAAAUCGUCGAGUUAAACUCUUCCACUCGACGCCAUUCGCUGUCGUACAUUCGUAUGCGGUGAAAUGGGUUGAAAACACAAGAUUUUGUGGGCUCCGCGUCCAGUUGGGGCUGACUCCAGUCCUGACUCGGCUCCAGCCUUAACCGGCGGAAUGCUGCCCGUAAACAUGUGCGGUCCCGCGGUCGAGACGCUCCGCCAUUGGCCACCGGAGCACACGCCUCCACAAGCCCCCACCCGCACACCGCUCCCUUCUCUCCCCGCCCCUCGCGGUCCUCCUCCCGGCUUGCUCUCUCGCCUUCUGUCAGGCCCGCUCCAUUCAAAACAAUGACGCAAGGAAGGAGAGGAAGUGAGGGAGGGAAGGAAGGAGGGAGAAAGGGGUGAAAAUGGAGAAGACAGACACACUUUAUGCUUUAACCCAGUUUGUAGACGUGUAGCCUACUUUUUGUGUGUCAUGGGAUUUACCAAAUUACCACUUAAUGAUCUUGAGAUGGCAGCACAAAAAACGGCAGUCUCUUGUUUUUGUGAAUGUAAACAAAUCAGACUAUUCAUGAUGGUUUCAUUCUAUUAAAGUACAAAUUUCCAUUUUCA